Molecule: ribosomal RNA, 2149 nt
Filed under: Paranthura japonica
Lineage: Eukaryota; Metazoa; Arthropoda; Malacostraca; Isopoda; Paranthuridae
Description: partial small subunit ribosomal RNA
Rfam family: Eukaryotic small subunit ribosomal RNA
Source: RNAcentral
UCCUGCCNGUAGUCAUAUGCUUGUCUCAAAGAUUAAGCCAUGCAUGUCUCAGUACAAGCCUACCUAAGGCGAAACCGCGAAUGGCUCAUUAAAUCAGUCAUGAUUCAUUGGAUGUUGCCAAAAAUUUACUUGGAUAACUGUGGUAAUUCUAGAGCUAAUACAUGCACCUGAGCUCCGACCCCGACGUAAGGAAGGGAAAGGGCGCUUUUAUUAGAUCAAAAACCGAUCGGACUUCGGUCCGUCUCUCAAAAAAGAGCAGUGAUGAGUCUGAAUAACUUAGCCGAGCGCUGAGGUCUUAGUACCGGCGCCGUAUCCUUUGAGUGUCUGCCUUAUCAGCUGUCGAUUGUAAGAUAUACGCUUACAAUGGCUGUAACGGGUAACGGGGAAUCAGGGUUCGAUUCCGGAGAGGGAGCCUGAGAAACGGCUACCACAUCUAAGGAAGGCAGCAGGCACGCAAAUUACCCACUCCCGGUACGGGGAGGUAGUGACGAAAAAUAACGAUGCGGGACUCUUCCGAGGCCUCGCAAUCGGAAUGAGUUCACUCUAAAUCCUUGGACGAGGAUCCAUUGGAGGGCAAGUCUGGUGCCAGCAGCCGCGGUAAUUCCAGCUCCAAUAGCGUAUAUUAAAGUUGCUGCGGUUAAAAAGCUCGUAGUUGGAUUUGCGAUGACGCGUCGAGAGCGGGCGAAACGACGACGCCUUAGACUGUCGUCGAAAGCGGACGCGCUUAUCCAUCCGUCUACUNCUGCUGCUGGNGANACGNGGACCACAUCCAANAAAGGUANCGGGCGNNCANNNNGNCCAAUCNUNNCAAAGNAANNNANCGACACUUUUUNGCNNNUUCCNCCCNNCCNNCUNCCNUNCNNCCCNNCNNCACCNNCUUNNUGNCGGNCGGCGGCGGCGGUGGUGGUGAUGAUGNUGNUCCUCCUCCUCCGNCNNNNCAUANCNACGUCGUCGUCNUNNNNANGACGCCGNUAGNAGUCNNCUGCCGNCNCCNGCUNNNNGGGGCGGCGGCNNNCUANUACUACAACUAAUAAUAAUAAUAUUGCGUAGUCGUAGUCGACGUCGUCCCGCGUGGCCGUCAAGUUCACUUUGAAAAAAUUAGAGUGCUCAAAGCAGGCCUGAAAUCUGAAUGGUGAUGCAUGGAAUGAUAAAACAGGACCUCGGUUCUGUAUUUUUGGUCGGUUUUCCGAACCAGAGGUAAUGAUUAACGGAGACAGACGGGGGCAUUAGUAUUGCGACGCUAGAGGUGAAAUUCUUGGACCGUCGCAAGACUAACUACUGCGAAAGCAUUUGCCAAGAAUGCUCUCAUUAAUCAAGAACGAAAGUUAGAGGAUCGAAGGCGAUCAGAUACCGCCCUAGUUCUAACCAUAAACGAUGCUAACUGGCGAUCCGCCGGAGUCAUUCCCACGACUCGGCGGGAAGCCCCCGGGAAACCAAAGUCUUUGAGUUCCGGGGGAAGUAUGGUUGCAAAGCUGAAACUUAAAGGAAUUGACGGAAGGGCACCACCAGGAGUGGAGCCUGCGGCUUAAUUUGACUCAACACGGGGAACCUCACCAGGCCCAGACACCAGGCCCAGACACCGUAAGGAUUGACAGAUUGAGAGCUCUUUCUCGAAUCGGUGGUUGGUGGUGCAUGGCCGUUNUUAGUUGGUGGAGCGAUCUGUCUGGUUGAUUCCGAUAACGAACGAGACUCUCCCCUGCUAACUAGUCGGCGGAUCGUCUCCCGAGAAGGGUCCUAGCCGGGUGUGUCGGAUCGUGCCUUCGCUUCGAACCUUCGUCGUCCCUCCUCCCCCCUGUCCGUCGCUUCGAGGCCUCCGUGGUUCUAGUCGCGUCGGGGAGGUCGGGAGGCUGGAUCUCGGCGUUGGAACGGGCGUCGGACGGUCUCCUCGCGCUUUGGGCCCGACGAGGGGCGUCCGUCGCAANGUCUUCUUAGAGGGAUCGGCGUCGUCCAGGCGCACGAGAUAGAGCAAUAACAGGUCUGUGAUGCCCUUAGAUGUUCUGGGCCGCACGCGCGCUACAAUGAAGGGAUCAGCGCGCUCCCCCCCUCCGAAAGGAGCGGGUAACCCUAUGAAACCCCUUCCCGAUUGGGAUUGGGGAUUGCAAGUGUUUCCCAUGAACGAGGAAUUCCCAGUAAGCGCAAGUCAGCAGCU